This 76-nucleotide transfer RNA is filed under the name Lapillicoccus sp. RNAcentral describes it as "tRNA-Thr". It matches the Rfam family "tRNA". Rfam says of the family: Transfer RNA (tRNA) molecules are approximately 80 nucleotides in length. Their secondary structure includes four short double-helical elements and three loops (D, anti-codon, and T loops). RNAcentral also lists the same sequence under 2 other names. Lineage: Bacteria; Bacillati; Actinomycetota; Actinomycetes; Micrococcales; Intrasporangiaceae. The record is from RNAcentral.
GCCGGCGUGGCGCAACUGGCAGCGCACCUGUCUUGUAAACAGGGGGUUGGGGGUUCGAGUCCCCCCGCCGGCUCCA